AAAUUUUGCAAACAUUUAAAUUAUUUAUAAAAAUGUAUGAAGUAAAGUAAUAUUCGCUAGCGGAGCGAGCGAGAAAUUUUUGCAAUUUUCUACUUUCAAAACAUUCUUUGUCUCACUAAUAAGCGCUACGAGCCAUCUUGAUAUUCCGGCAUUGAGUGGAGUUAAAAUCAGU
Molecule: long non-coding RNA, 172 nt
Organism: Bradysia coprophila
Lineage: Eukaryota; Metazoa; Arthropoda; Insecta; Diptera; Sciaridae
Source: RefSeq, a predicted model, not a curated record